GUCCAGAUCCCCACAGACAUCUACAAAGGCGGUGAGGAACCAGACUGAUGCUGUUAAAUCUCUGUAUGAGUCAAAGAGAGUUCAUGACGUGUCUGUCUGUCUGUAGCGCCGGUGAUUCUGAACGAGCUGAACUGGACGCAAGCGUUAGAGAACAGCAGAGAUGACCCGUCAUUGCUCUGGCAAGCGUUUGGAAGUGCCACCGGUGUCACAAGAUAUUAUCCAGGUAACCAUCUGAUCGACGUGUACUGAGGCAGAUCAUCGGUUUUGAGUAAAAUGUGAAACCAACCUGAGACCACAUAUGUCCCAAAUAAGUAACAGAUUUUGUCUUGUAGCUGCUCCCUGGAGAGCUCUGGAUAAGAUGUACAACGACGACCCUGGUAAUACAUUUCCUGUAUCUGUGUUUGGUUCCUUUCUCUUUCAGUGAACCUGGAGACAUCCAGUCAGAUGCCAAACUGUCCAGUUAAGCUACAGUACAUUCAAGGAGCAUCCUCGCCCAAAGAUAUGGUCGUCCUCUUAGACGUGAGCGGCAGUGUCAGUGGACUUACUCUCAAACUGAUCAAAGCUUCGGUCACAGAGAUGCUCGACACACUCUCCGACGUUGAUUACAUCAAUGUGGCCAGGGUCCGUCAGCUACUUUUGAUUGUUGGAUUU
This is a long non-coding RNA of Cyprinus carpio (common carp), 651 nucleotides long. RefSeq lists it as uncharacterized. The transcript is spliced from 3 exons. The record is from RefSeq and is a predicted model, not a curated record. Lineage: Eukaryota; Metazoa; Chordata; Actinopteri; Cypriniformes; Cyprinidae.